AUUUUAUAAAACUUCUAGUAUAAUUAACAUUUUUUUUAGAUUAAAUUUAUUUAUUAAAUAGAUUUAAAAAUAUUAAAUUUAAAUAAAAAUUUAAUAUAAAAUAUUAAAAAAUAUCAUCCUGAAACAACUAGUAUUUUGCGCUUCUCCUCCUAUAUUCCUGAGCGGAGCAUGCCUAAGGUUUCGUUUGGGAUUGCGGAGAGAUUGCGUUACGUGCGGUGGGAAAGUACGUUGGAAAAAUAUCUUAUUUAUUUUCGUGCGUAAUAUUACGUUCCGCAUAUUGCGAUUAGUCGGUUACCAUAUAUUUUCUACGAUUUUAUCGGAGAACGCCGAAAUAUAUUUCUAUAUAUUUUUUUCACAACUUUAUUUUAUCUAAUAGUAUUUGAUACUCUUGAUG
RNAcentral lists this long non-coding RNA (394 nucleotides) under Ananas comosus (pineapple). RNAcentral's name for it is "long non-coding RNA (ACOM_LNC025158)". The record is from RNAcentral. Lineage: Eukaryota; Viridiplantae; Streptophyta; Magnoliopsida; Poales; Bromeliaceae.